GGGCGAGUGGCGGAAUGGUAUACGCACAACACUUAAAAUGUUGCGGGUUUUGCCCAUGAGGGUUCGACUCCCUCCUCGCCCA
RNAcentral lists this transfer RNA (82 nucleotides) under Patescibacteria group bacterium. RNAcentral's name for it is "tRNA-Leu". It matches the Rfam family "tRNA". Rfam says of the family: Transfer RNA (tRNA) molecules are approximately 80 nucleotides in length. Their secondary structure includes four short double-helical elements and three loops (D, anti-codon, and T loops). Further hydrogen bonds mediate the characteristic L-shaped molecular structure. tRNAs have two regions of fundamental functional importance: the anti-codon, which is responsible for specific mRNA codon recognition, and the 3' end, to which the tRNAs corresponding amino acid is attached (by aminoacyl-tRNA synthetases). tRNAs cope with the degeneracy of the genetic code in two manners: having more than one tRNA (with a specific anti-codon) for a particular amino acid; and 'wobble' base-pairing, i.e. permitting non-standard base-pairing at the 3rd anti-codon position. The record is from RNAcentral. RNAcentral also lists the same sequence under 1 other name.